AAUGAAUUUUGAAGUUUUUUUAUUUGAUACAGGUAUGUUUGGAUUACUCAUUAGAAUAUAAACUAAGGUUAAAUUUGUUUGUUUCCUGAAAGCAAUCCUUCAUUUCUCCCCAAAGCUCGAUCUCUAACUCAUCAAUGUCGGAUGUAAUUCCAUUUGAAAUAAUAUAGAAAAUCGAUUGGGGAAAUAUAUACUUUCAUUUUACCCAAACGGAUACACCUUUCAGAUCUCGCUUUGGCAUUUUGUUCCUCCUCACUUGUUUAUUAAUUUGUGGUUUCGCUUUUGUUGGAGCUCAAAAUCAAAGGCCGAAGAACGUUCAAGUUGUGAUUCGGGCUAAAUGGUCGGGUACUCUAUCGCUCUUUGAAGCCAGAAAAUGGUUGAGGUUUGUGUUUUCAUAUCCAACCACUGCUUUAAAGUUAUUUGCUGUGUUUGGUUCUUUUUUGACAUUGCAAAAAAUGGAGUAUUCAUACCUGCUAGAUCUGGCUGAUGAAUGCGAAGAUCCUUACAUGCGAUUAGUUUACACUACUUCAUGGGCUAUAUAUGUCUAUUAUGCCUAUCAACGUACCUGGAAACCAUUCAAUCCCAUACUUGGGGAGACUUAUGAAAUGGUUAAUCAUGGUGGCAUUACUUUUCUAGUUGAACAGAACACUGCAAUGGGGAGGGAAGAACUUGUUUAUAUGCAAUGGGGAGGGAAGAACUUGUUUUGAAAAGAGCAGGGGUAAUUCUAGAAGAUCCUCAUACUGAAGAUCAUAGCCAAGAAGUUGAGGAUCUAAGGACUUGAGGUUUGAAUUGCAGAUAUCUAAGGACAUAUGGGAGUUGGAAAGUUCCAGUUUAGUUCCAAGUCCCAGUAUUUAAUUGAACAAUUGCUUACAUGUGAAACAUGAAGGAAUUCAUGGUGAAGCUUUUGGGAUUUUACACAUGUUGUAAAGCAUGACAAAUCAUUAUAAUAGAUUCUUAUCAUUCAUCGACUUGUGUAAUGGGGUAAGGAUUAUCAGGAUAUAUCUAAUCUAGUGACCCAGACACGUCCCAUGUAGACUAGCUUGGCUAGGUACCAAUGCUAUGUGACCCGA
Molecule: long non-coding RNA, 1067 nt
Organism: Hibiscus syriacus
Lineage: Eukaryota; Viridiplantae; Streptophyta; Magnoliopsida; Malvales; Malvaceae
Exons: 5
Source: RefSeq, a predicted model, not a curated record